CCUACGGGUGGCAGCAGGGAGGAAUAAUGGACAAUGGACGAGAGUCUGAACCAGCGAAGUAGCGUGAAGGAUGACAGCCCUAUGGGUUGUAAACUUCUUUUAUAUGGGAAUAAAAUGUUCCACGUGUGGGAUUUUGUAUGUACCAUAUGAAUUAGGAUCGGCUAACUCCGUGCCAGCAGCCGCGGUAAUACGGAGGAACCGAGCGUUAUCCGGAUUUAUUGGGUUUAAAGGGCGCGUAGGUGGGUUUGUAAGUCAGUUGUGAAAGUGUGGGGCUCAACCGUAAAAUUGCAGUUGAAACUGGGAGUCUUGAGUACAGUAGAGGUGGCCGGAAUUCGUGGUGUAGCGGUGAAAUGCUUAGAUAUCACGAAGAACACUGAUUGCGAAGGCAGCUCACUGGACUGCAACUGACACUGAGGCUCGAAAGUGUGGGUAUCAAACAGGAUUAGAUACCCGAGUAGUC
This 460-nucleotide ribosomal RNA is filed under the name uncultured bacterium. RNAcentral describes it as "partial 16S ribosomal RNA". It matches the Rfam family "Bacterial small subunit ribosomal RNA", at positions 338 to 795 of the family's 1533-position model. The record is from RNAcentral.